GACGAACGCUGGCGGCGUGCUUAACACAUGCCAGUCGAACGGAAAGGCCCUGCUUUUGUGGGGUGCUCGAGUGGCGAACGGGUGAGUAACACGUGAGUAACCUGCCCUUGACUUUGGGAUAACUUCAGGAAACUGGGGCUAAUACCGGAUAGGAGCUCCUGCUGCAUGGUGGGGGUUGGAAAGUUUCGGCGGUUGGGGAUGGACUCACGGCUUAUCAGCUUGUUGGUGGGGUAGUGGCUUACCAAGGCUUUGACGGGUAGCCGGCCUGAGAGGGUGACCGGCCACAUUGGGACUGAGAUACGGCCCAGACUCCUACGGGAGGCAGCAGUGGGGAAUAUUGCGCAAUGGGCGGAAGCCUGAUGCAGCAACGCCGCGUGCGGGAUGACGGCCUUCGGGUUGUAAACCGCUUUCGCCUGUGACGAAGCGUGAGUGACGGUAAUGGGUAAAGAAGCACCGGCUAACUACGUG
This 468-nucleotide ribosomal RNA is filed under the name uncultured bacterium. RNAcentral's name for it is "partial 16S ribosomal RNA". It matches the Rfam family "Bacterial small subunit ribosomal RNA", at positions 28 to 507 of the family's 1533-position model. The record is from RNAcentral.